GAACCCUUUCACUUAACUGCCGAGAGAAGGGUAUAUUGGACUUGCGCAAAGCCAUGCAACAGAUUGGAUUUAUUGAUCAAAAAGCAGCUUCCAGAAUAUUUAAGUUUACGGAUACUACCCUCUUGAAAAUUUGAGAAGAAUUGGACUUAAUGCAUCGAACAAGGCAUUUGCUAUAGAUUGGGGAAAAGCAGCAUAUGUAUGUAUGCAUAGGAGGCGGCGGCUGUAAUACAGGAGGUGCAACUCAGGAGGAGGCGGCUUUCAUAUAGGAGAAGGCGGCUUCAACUAUAGAGGACGCGGCGGCUUGAGCUAACGAGGAGGCAGUGGCAGGAGGAGACGGUUUCAAAUAUGGAGUUAAGAAAAACGUAUUCUUAACUAAUGCUCUUCUACGCGAUUCUCAUAAAAUCAAGUAAGGCUUUACUUUAAUAUGAGGAGGCGGCGGCUGUUAUACAGGAGGAGACGGCUUCAACUAAGGAGAAGGAGGCGGCUUUAAUAUUGAAGGAAA
RNAcentral lists this small RNA (502 nucleotides) under Drosophila virilis. Its description in RNAcentral is "GJ26443". Lineage: Eukaryota; Metazoa; Arthropoda; Insecta; Diptera; Drosophilidae. The record is from RNAcentral.